GAUGAACGCUGGCGGCGUGCCUAAUACAUGCAAGUCGAGCGAACAGACGAGGAGCUUGCUCCUCUGACGUUAGCCGCGGACGGGUGAGUAACACGUGGAUAACCUACCUAUAUGACUGGGAUAACUUCGGGAAACCGGAGCUAAUACCGGAUAAUAUAUUGCACCGCAUGGUUCAAUAGUGAAAGACGGUUUUGCUGUCUCUUAUAGAUGGAUCCGCGCCGCAUUAGCUAGUUGGUAAGGUAACGGCUUACCAAGGGAACGAUGCGUAGCCGACCUGAGAGGGUGAUCGGCCACACUGGAACUGGGACACGGUCCAGACUCCUACGGGAGGCAGCAGUAGGGAAUCUUCCGCAAAGGGCGAAAGCCUGACGGAGCGACGCCGAGUGAGUGAUGAAGGUCUUCGGAUCGUAAAGCUCUGUUAUUAGGGAAGAACAAAUGUGUAAGUAACUAUGCACGUCUUGACGGUACCUAAUCAGAAAGCCACGGCUAACUACGUG
RNAcentral lists this ribosomal RNA (497 nucleotides) under uncultured bacterium. RNAcentral describes it as "partial 16S ribosomal RNA". It matches the Rfam family "Bacterial small subunit ribosomal RNA", at positions 28 to 507 of the family's 1533-position model. The record is from RNAcentral.